GACGAACGCUGGCGGCGUGCUUAACACAUGCAAGUCGAGCGGAAAGGCCCUUUCGGGGGUACUCGAGCGGCGAACGGGUGAGUAACACGUGAGUAAUCUGCCCCUGGCCUUGGGAUAGCCACCGGAAACGGUGAUUAAUACCGGAUACGACCACUGCCCGCCUGGGAUGGUGGUGGAAAGUUUUUCGGCCAGGGAUGUGCUCGCGGCCUAUCAGCUUGAUGGUGAGGUAAUGGCUGACCAUGGCUUCGACGGGUAGCCGGCCUGAGAGGGUGACCGGUCACACUGGGACUGAGACACGGCCCAGACUCCUACGGGAGGCAGCAGUGGGGAAUAUUGGACAAUGGGCGGAAGCCUGAUCCAGCAACGCCGCGUGAGGGAUGACGGCCUUCGGGUUGUAACCUCUUUCAGCAGCGACGAAGCGCAAGUGACGGUACCUGCAGAAGAAGCACCGGCCAACUACGUGCCAGCAGCCGCCGUAA
This 479-nucleotide ribosomal RNA is filed under the name uncultured bacterium. RNAcentral describes it as "partial 16S ribosomal RNA". It matches the Rfam family "Bacterial small subunit ribosomal RNA", at positions 28 to 523 of the family's 1533-position model. The record is from RNAcentral.